AGCACUGUAUGGUAUCUGCAGCUAGCUGAAUCCAGGCUGGACUGUUCAUAACACAGUGCGACAGCAAACUGAGCAUGUGGCAUCGUUGGUCUUCAUGCUCCUUUGUGCUUGGAGUCCUGGUAUUUGUGCUUAAACAUGA
Paramormyrops kingsleyae is the source of this 139-nucleotide small nucleolar RNA. Ensembl annotates it as small nucleolar RNA SNORA8. The record is from Ensembl. NCBI's taxonomy places the organism in Eukaryota, Metazoa, Chordata, Actinopteri, Osteoglossiformes, Mormyridae.